This 253-nucleotide ribosomal RNA is filed under the name uncultured bacterium. RNAcentral's name for it is "partial 16S ribosomal RNA". It matches the Rfam family "Bacterial small subunit ribosomal RNA", at positions 524 to 776 of the family's 1533-position model. The record is from RNAcentral.
UACGUAGGGGGCAAGCGUUGUCCGGAUUUAUUGGGCGUAAAGAGCGUGUAGGCGGCCAGAUAGGUCUGCUGUGAAAACUCGAGGCUUAACCUCGAGAUGUCGGCGGAAACCAUCUGGCUAGAGUCCGGAAGAGGAGAGUGGAAUUCCUGGUGUAGCGGUGAAAUGCGCAGAUAUCAGGAAGAACACCCGUGGCGAAGGCGGCUCUCUGGGACGGUACUGACGCUGAGACGCGAAAGCGUGGGGAGCGAACAGG